CCUACGGGGGGCUGCAGUGAGGAAUAUUGGUCAAUGGGCGGAAGCCUGAACCAGCCAAGUAGCGUGCAGGAUGACGGCCCUACGGGUUGUAAACUGCUUUUAUACGGGAAUAACGCGCCUUACGUGUAGGGCUUUGCAUGUACCGUAUGAAUAAGGACCGGCUAAUUCCGUGCCCGCAACCGGGGUAAUAAGGAAGGUCCGGGCCUUAUCCGGGUUUAUUGGGUUUAAAGGGAGCGUAGGGCGGAUGUCAAGCGUGCUGUGAAAUGUUCGGGCUCAACCCGGGUCUUGCAACGCGAACUGGCGUGCUUGAGUCCGCGGAAAGCAGGCGGAAUUCGUCGUGUAGCGGUGAAAUGCUUAGAUAUGACGAAGAACCCCGAUUGCGAAGGCAGCUUGCUGCAGCGGAACUGACGCUGAUGCUCGAAAGCGCGGGUAUCGAACAGGAUUAGAUACCCCUGUAGUC
This 460-nucleotide ribosomal RNA is filed under the name uncultured bacterium. RNAcentral's name for it is "partial 16S ribosomal RNA". It matches the Rfam family "Bacterial small subunit ribosomal RNA", at positions 338 to 795 of the family's 1533-position model. The record is from RNAcentral.